CCAAGUCUCAUGUCCAGAGGGUUUUCUCUCUCUGCUUAUGAGAGCUGUCUUCCCCUUAGUGAGGAUUCAAUCCUUGAAGAUUUUUAAAGCCAAAUCUAUAUAUAAUCACCAUCAAACUACUAUUUCUAAUCUUGCAAACCUACAAAAAUCUACCUUGAAUCCUCCUUUGCCCAUCAAUUUUAGAUUUUUUUAGGAGCUAUCUUAAACCCUAAACCGCUUCCGAUCAUCAAAAACCUUCUAAUUUCGCAGCAACUGGGCUACGGAGAGUGCUAUUUCAACCCCUCUUGAAUGGUAAAUCCGACAAUUUUAGAGAUGGCGGAACAAAUUAUUGACAGAUUUCAUCAGUUUGCUCUUACAGAGGAAGAAAAGGAGACUAUGUCAAUUAAAAUUUCAGAUGUUCUGUCAAGCAUAAAAGAUUGUGAUGUAAGUCUUCUUGGUAAUGUUAUCUCGUAUAAGAGAGUGAAUCUCCAGGGGGUCAAGAACGCUAUGCCUGUGGCUUGGGGAAACCAAACAGGGCUGCAAAUAAAGGAAAUAGGAUGGAACUUUUUCCAGUUCAAGUUCAAAGAUAAAGAAACUAUGGAUAAAGUACUAUUUGGCACACCAUGGCUGUAUGAUAAUUUCCUCCUUAAUGUACAUCCAUGGGAGUCAGGAUUGAAGAGUACUUCCUCAACUUUUAAUGUAUGUGAUUUAUGGGUUCAAGUUUGGAAUAUCCCUCUGCACUGGAUGUCAACGGAUGUUGGGCACAAAAUCGAAAAUACUUUGGGAGGUAUUGUGGAUAUUGUAAUCCCUGCAAAUGGAAGUAAAGAAGGACAAUAUAUAAGGUUGAAAGUCAGGAUAAAUAUUACUAAGCCACUGCCUAAAGUUAAGUUGAUCAAAUUAGAAUCGGAAACUACAUGGGUUGAAAUAAGAUACGAGAACCUGCCUUACGUGUGCUAUUAUUGUGGUCUACUUGGGCAUAAUGAUAAAACAUGUACCCAAAGAGCCAAGGAUGUAUAGGGAGGCACGGUUAAAAUUAAUCAGUUUGGGAUUUGGUUAAAAGCAGAGAACCGUGUUCUUCUCUCGGGAAGACGUAGGUGCCAAGGGACAAACAAUAUUAAUGGAAAUCCAAUGGUUACGGGGAGAAGAGUUAAAGGAAUUACAAACAGUUGGAAAAGGAUGCUGAAGUAACUCAAUACGGAAGGAAAUUGUGGGCUUAAGCAGGGAAGAUGACGAUGGACCAAACAUGGAUGACUUAAACCAGAUGCAACCUAUGGAGGUAAAAAAUUAUGGAUCGCGCAAGAAAGAAUUUGUUGUUGUUAAAGAUAAUGAAGGAGAAGAAACUUAUGUUGGGAUUACAAUGGUCUCAACACAGGAUUUGAAUAUGGCUGUGAAGAAGAAUGACAUGGGUUCACAAACUCCAGUUAAUGAGAAUAUGGUUGACCGCACCACAUGGGGAAAAGAUGAUGCUAUGCAAAUUAAUUCGAAGGACAUGUAGGACAACAUACAUCAAGUUUUUACAGAUGCUGAAAAGAUGGACAUCCACACCAAAACAACUAGUCAACAAGAAGAAAAUGAGGUAUAUUUGGAAAUUUGCAAGACACUUGUUUAACUCGCCCACUUGUACGGAUUGCUCGAUCACUUGACAUUCUUUUGGACUUUGUCCUUCUUAUGGUCGUGACUUUGUCACUAUUGGCAUGCCUCUUGUUUCGGACCCUUUGCCAUCUUGAUUAUGGAUUUUUAGUUCGUCUUAAGUAUGGAAGUUGUCCAUUUUAAGUACAAAUUAGGAAGCCAUUUUUAAUAUGGUUCUUGGUUCUCGGUUCUCUUGAUUAUUGGGUCUUUACCCUUCUUGAUACAGGGCUCUGGUCCUUCUUGAUACUUGAUCAUGUUUGGUGUGACGGCAUGACGUUCAUAUUGGGCGAAACUUGGUGCUAAAUCUUGUAAAUGUGCUUUUAUGAAUUAUUGACACUUAAACUUUUACAUAUAGAACUUGAUACUCGUGAUGUA
Solanum dulcamara is the source of this 1983-nucleotide RNA transcript. RefSeq lists it as uncharacterized. NCBI's taxonomy places the organism in Eukaryota, Viridiplantae, Streptophyta, Magnoliopsida, Solanales, Solanaceae. The record is from RefSeq and is a predicted model, not a curated record. The transcript is spliced from 2 exons.